CGGACUCAUCAUUGAGUAAACUUUGACCCUGUACCUCACAGUCAGCAGACACACUCCAGCCAAUCAGCAGCAGACCCUCCCUCCCAGACCCUCCCACCUCCUGGACAGCAUCCAUUUUGAAGCUGCAUUCUUAGUGAGCUGUCCAGGAGGUGGGAGGGUCUGGGAGGGAGGGUCUGCUGCUGAUUGGCUGGAGUGUGUCUGCUGACUGUGAGGUACAGGGUCAAAGUUUACGCA
Non-coding RNA from Pelobates cultripes (western spadefoot toad), 234 nucleotides. The record is from the annotation of a GenBank genome assembly. Lineage: Eukaryota; Metazoa; Chordata; Amphibia; Anura; Pelobatidae.